This 406-nucleotide ribosomal RNA is filed under the name uncultured bacterium. RNAcentral's name for it is "partial 16S ribosomal RNA". It matches the Rfam family "Bacterial small subunit ribosomal RNA", at positions 28 to 526 of the family's 1533-position model. The record is from RNAcentral.
GAUGAACGCUAGCUACAGGCUUAACACAUGCAAGUCGAGGGACCGGCGCACGAGUGAGUAACACGUAUCCAACAUGCCAUUUACUCGGGGAUAGCCUUUCGAAAGAAAGAUUAAUACCCGAUGUAAAGGAUGGGGAUGCGUUCCCUUAGGUUGUUUGUGAGGUAACGGCUAACCAAGCCUUCGAUAGAUAGGGGUUCUGAGAGGAAGGUCCCUCACAGUGGAACUGAGACACGGUCCAAACUCCUACGUGAGGCAGCAGUGAGGAAUAUUGGUCAAUGGGCGUUAGCCUGAACCAGCCAAGUAGCGUGAAGGAUGAAGGCUUAUGGGUCGUAAACUUCUUUUAUAUAAGAAUAUGUAUUAUAUGAAUAAGGAUCGGCUAACUCCGUGCCAGCAGCCGCGGUAAUUC